AGAGUGCGUAACAGCUCACUGGUCUAGUGGUUCCGCGCCGACAAUGUAGCGGGGCUCAAGCACACCACCGAAGACGCGGCAGUAUUUUGUACUGGGUAGGAGAGCGUCCCAUGAGGGGCGAAGCGGCCGUGUGAACGCGCCGUGGACUUCAUGGGAGUGAGAAUGCAGACAUGAGUAGCGAGAGACGGGUGAAGAUCCCGUCCGCUGGAUGACCAAGGGUUCCAGGGCCACGUUCAUCGUCCCUGGGUGAGUCGGGUCCUAAGGCGAGGCCGACAGGCGUAGUCGAAUGGAUGAACGGGUCGAUAUUCCCGUACCGGCUUUCAGCCGCCAAAACCGAGGCUUGGAGUACUAACCUCCGGGUCCGGGCUUACUGCUCCUUCGGGGGCGGGAUGCCCUGGCCUGUUGGGACCGAUCCUUGUAGUAGGUCAGCGCAGGAGUGACGCAGAAGGGUAGCCGGCCGCGGAGGUGGUCUUCCGUGGUCAAGCACGCAGGGCGUGGGACAGGCAAAUCCGUCCCGCAUGGGUCCGAGGUGCGAUGAUGGGGGCCUUAUGGCCCGAUAUCCGGUGAUCCCGGCUGCCGAGAAAAGCUUCGGCGUCAGGCUCGAAGCCGCCCGUACCCCAAACCGACACUGGUGGUCAGGUAGAGAAUACCAAAGCGAUCGAGCGAAUCCUGGUCAAGGAACUCGGCAAAUCACUCCCGUUCCUUCGGUUUAAGGGAGACCCCCGAUGGUGAACACACUUGCUGUGGGAGCUUUUGGGGGUGGCACAGACCAGGGGGUAGCGACUGUUUACCAAAAACACAGGUGCAUGCGAAGGCGCAAGCCGCUGUAUAUGCACUGACGCCUGCCCGGUGCCGGAAGGUUAAGAGGAUCCGUCAGCCUUCGGGUGAAGCGGUGAAUUCAAGCCCCGGUAAACGGCGGUGGUAACUAUAACCAUCCUAAGGUAGCGAAAUUCCUUGUCGGGUAAGUUCCGACCUGCACGAAUGGCGUAACGACUUCCCCACUGUCUCGACCAGGAGCUCGGCGAAAUUGCAGUACGAGUAAAGAUGCUCGUUAAGCGCAGAAGGACGAAAAGACCCCGGGACCUUUACUAUACCUUGGUAUUGGCAUUCGGUGUGGAUUGUGUAGCAUAGGCGGGAGGCCGAGAGGCGCGGUCGCCAGAUCGCGCGGAGCCGUAAGGUGAAAUACCGCUCUGUUCGCAUUGGAUGUCUAACCUCGAACAGUCAUCCUGUUCAGGGACAGUGCCUGGCGGGUAGUUUAACUGGGGCGGUUGCCUCCCAAAGAGUAACGGAGGCGCCCAAAGGUCCGCUCAGCCCGGUUGGCAAUCGGGUGGCGAGUGCAAGUGCACAAGCGGGCUUGACUGCGAGGACGACGGUCCGAGCAGGGACGAAAGUCGGGACUAGUGAUCCGGUGCCGGUGUACGGACGCGGCAUCGCUCAACGGAUAAAAGGUACCCCGGGGAUAACAGGCUGAUCAUUCCCAAGAGUCCAUAUCGACGGGAUGGUUUGGCACCUCGAUGUCGGCUCGUCGCAUCCUGGGGCUGGAGCAGGUCCCAAGGGUUCGGCUGUUCGCCGAUUAAAGCGGCACGCGAGCUGGGUUCAGAACGUCGUGAGACAGUUUGGUCUCUAUCCUCUGCGCUCGUUGGAAUGCUGAGGAGGCCUGCCCAUAGUACGAGAGGACCUGGGUGGACGAACCUCUGGUAUGCCGGUUGUCACGCCAGUGGCACGGCCGGUUGGCUACGUUCGGAAGGGAUAACCGCUGAAAGCAUCUAAGCGGGAAGCCUGCUCCAAGAUAAGCAUUCCGUGGAACCUUCGAGUUCCUGUAGUCCCCAUGCAGAACACGUGGUCGAUAGGCCGGACGUGGAAGCCCCGCGAGGGGUGGAGCCGACCGGUACUAACGGACGAAAGGCAACACU
RNAcentral lists this ribosomal RNA (1913 nucleotides) under human gut metagenome. Its description in RNAcentral is "bacterial LSU rRNA". It matches the Rfam family "Bacterial large subunit ribosomal RNA", at positions 1127 to 2925 of the family's 2925-position model. The record is from RNAcentral.